RNAcentral lists this ribosomal RNA (306 nucleotides) under Triticum aestivum (bread wheat). RNAcentral's name for it is "partial small subunit ribosomal RNA". The record is from RNAcentral. Lineage: Eukaryota; Viridiplantae; Streptophyta; Magnoliopsida; Poales; Poaceae.
AUGGCCGCCUCUCCCUCUUGCAUUUCUCUUGUGGUGCUCGUGGCUCUGGCCACGGUGGCGUCUGCGCAGCUGUCCCCGACGUUCUACAGCGCGUCGUGCCCCGGGGCGCUGGCCGCCAUCAAGAGCGGCGUGACGGCCGCCGUGAGCAGCGACCCCCGCAUGGGCGCGUCGCUGCUCAGGCUGCACUUCCACGACUGCUUUGUCCAGGGCUGCGACGCCUCUGUUCUUCUGUCAGGCAACGAGCAGAACGCGGGCCCGAACGCGGGCCCGAACGCGGGCCCGAACGCGGGCCCGACACGUCAAUGA